GGCGUCACGUCAUCCGAGUUGUAAUCUAUAGAAGCGUUUUCCGCGCCGGCUCAUGUACAAGUCCCUUGGAACAGGGCGUCAUAGAGGGUGAGAAUCCCGUCCUUGACAUGAACCACCGGUGCUAUGUGAUACGUUUUCAACGAGUCGAGUUGUUUGGGAAUGCAGCUCAAAAUGGGUGGUAAAUUCCAUCUAAAGCUAAAUAUUGGCGAGAGACCGAUAGCGAACAAGUACCGUGAGGGAAAGAUGAAAAGCACUUUGGAAAGAGAGUUAAACAGUAUGUGAAAUUGUUGAAAGGGAAACGAUUGAAGUCAGUCAUGUCCUUGGGAUUCAGCCUGUUCUGCAGGUGUACUUCCCUUGGAUGGGGUCAACAUCAGUUUUGAUCGCCGGAUAAAGGCUGGAGGAAGGUAGCACUCUCGGGUGAACUUAUAGCCUCCUGUCGCAUACGGUGGUUGGGACUGAGGAACGCAGCUUGCCUUUAUGGCCGGGAUUUAUCCACGUAC
This 500-nucleotide ribosomal RNA is filed under the name Piskurozyma sp. RNAcentral's name for it is "eukaryotic LSU rRNA". It matches the Rfam family "Eukaryotic large subunit ribosomal RNA", at positions 124 to 618 of the family's 3401-position model. Lineage: Eukaryota; Fungi; Basidiomycota; Tremellomycetes; Filobasidiales; Piskurozymaceae. RNAcentral also lists the same sequence under 1 other name. The record is from RNAcentral.